This 468-nucleotide ribosomal RNA is filed under the name uncultured bacterium. RNAcentral's name for it is "partial 16S ribosomal RNA". It matches the Rfam family "Bacterial small subunit ribosomal RNA", at positions 28 to 507 of the family's 1533-position model. The record is from RNAcentral.
GACGAACGCUGGCGGCGUGCUUAACACAUGCAAGUCGAACGGAAAGGCCCUGCUUUUGUGGGGUGCUCGAGUGGCGAACGGGUGAGUAACACGUGAGUAACCUGCCCUUGACUGUGGGAUAACUUCAGGAAACUGGGGCUAAUACCGGAUAGGAGCUCCUGCUGCAUGUGGGGGGUUGGUAAGUUUCGGCUGUGGUGGAUGGACUCGCGGCUUAUCAGCUUGUUGGUGUGGUAGUGGCUUACCAAGGCUUUGACGGAUAGCCGGCCUGGGAGGGUUGACGGGGACCAUGGGACUGCGGUACGGACCAGAAUCGUACCGGAGGCAACAGGGGGGAAUCUUGCGCAGUGGGGGGAAGCCUGAUGCAACAAUGCUGGGUGCGGGAAGACCGCCUUUGGGGUGAAAACCGAUUUCGCAUGUGACGAAGAGUGAGUGACGGUAAUGGGUAAAGAAGCAACGGCUAACUACGUG